RNAcentral lists this ribosomal RNA (468 nucleotides) under uncultured soil bacterium. RNAcentral's name for it is "bacterial SSU rRNA". It matches the Rfam family "Bacterial small subunit ribosomal RNA", at positions 26 to 518 of the family's 1533-position model. The record is from RNAcentral.
AGGACGAACGCUGGCGGCGCGCUUAACACAUGCAAGUCGAGCGGUAAGGCCUUUCGGGGUACACGAGCGGCGAACGGGUGAGUAACACGUGGGUGAUCUGCCCUGCACUUCGGGAUAAGCCUGGGAAACUGGGUCUAAUACCGGAUAUGACUUCAGGUUGCAUGACUUGGGGUGGAAAGAUUUAUCGGUGCAGGAUGGGCCCGCGGCCUAUCAGCUUGUUGGUGGGGUAAUGGCCUACCAAGGCGACGACGGGUAGCCGACCUGAGAGGGUGACCGGCCACACUGGGACUGAGACACGGCCCAGACUCCUACGGGAGGCAGCAGUGGGGAAUAUUGGACAAUGGGCGAAAGCCUGAUCCAGCAAUGCCGCGUGAGUGAUGAAGGCCUUAGGGUGUAAAGCUCUUUUACCCGGAAGAUAAUGACUGUACCGGAGAAUAAGCUCCGGCUAACGUCCGCGCCAGCAGCCGC